This 258-nucleotide unclassified non-coding RNA is filed under the name Fusarium sp. RNAcentral describes it as "partial contains 5.8S ribosomal RNA, internal transcribed spacer 2, and large subunit ribosomal RNA". The stretch from base 1 to 52 matches the Rfam family "5.8S ribosomal RNA", at positions 103 to 154 of the family's 154-position model. RNAcentral also lists the same sequence under 4 other names. Lineage: Eukaryota; Fungi; Ascomycota; Sordariomycetes; Hypocreales; Nectriaceae. The record is from RNAcentral.
AACGCACAUUGCGCCCGCUGGUAUUCCGGCGGGCAUGCCUGUUCGAGCGUCAUUUCAACCCUCAAGCCCUCGGGUUUGGUGUUGGGGAUCGGCUCUGCCUUCUGGCGGUGCCGCCCCCGAAAUACAUUGGCGGUCUCGCUGCAGCCUCCAUUGCGUAGUAGCUAACACCUCGCAACUGGAACGCGGCGCGGCCAUGCCGUAAAACCCCAACUUCUGAAUGUUGACCUCGGAUCAGGUAGGAAUACCCGCUGAACUUAA